RNAcentral lists this long non-coding RNA (309 nucleotides) under Citrus maxima (pomelo). RNAcentral describes it as "long non-coding RNA (CMAX_LNC003846)". Lineage: Eukaryota; Viridiplantae; Streptophyta; Magnoliopsida; Sapindales; Rutaceae. The record is from RNAcentral.
AAAACAUCAGCCGUCCAGCCCAUCAUAACGUCGAUGACUGCACAAACGGGUCGGCUUUCGGGUUCCCGGGUUGAAAGGAGGUUUCGAAGGCCUUGAAGCAUUUGGCUGUGCAUGACAACAUGGGGGUGAGGAGGCGAAGGUGGUGGUGGUGGUGGAGAUGAGGAGGGUAUUUCAGUAACUUCAAAGAGAGGGUAUUGGUGAAACGAGGAAGGGAUGAUGCUGGUGGCGGAAAUGUGAGAAGGAAUGAUGAGGGUAGAUUUGUAAUUACGAGAAGCGAUUUGCUUGCAUAAUUCAAUGCAUGGAAAUAGA